RNAcentral lists this ribosomal RNA (694 nucleotides) under uncultured bacterium. RNAcentral describes it as "bacterial SSU rRNA". It matches the Rfam family "Bacterial small subunit ribosomal RNA", at positions 32 to 715 of the family's 1533-position model. The record is from RNAcentral.
AACGCUAGCUACAGGCUUAACACAUGCAAGUCGCGGGGCAGCAUGAAUUUAGCUUGCUAAAUUUGAUGGCGACCGGCGCACGGGUGAGUAACGCGUAUCCAACCUUCCCUUAUCCACGGGAUAGCCCGUCGAAAGGCGGAUUAAUACCGUAUGAGGUCAUUUGAUGGCAUCUGAUUAUGACGAAAGGUUUGGCGGAUAAGGAUGGGGAUGCGUCCGAUUAGCUUGUUGGCGGGGUAACGGCCCACCAAGGCGACGAUCGGUAGGGGUUCUGAGAGGAAGGUCCCCCACAUUGGAACUGAGACACGGUCCAAACUCCUACGGGAGGCAGCAGUGAGGAAUAUUGGUCAAUGGGCGAGAGCCUGAACCAGCCAAGUCGCGUGAGGGAAGACGGUCCUAUGGAUUGUAAACCUCUUUUGUCAGGGAGCAAAGGGCGUCACGCGUGACGCAAAGGAGAGUACCUGAAGAAAAAGCAUCGGCUAACUCCGUGCCAGCAGCCGCGGUAAUACGGAAGGUCCGGGCGUUAUCCGGAUUUAUUGGGUUUAAAGGGUGCGCAGGCGGCGCGUCAAGUCAGCGGUAAAAUGUCGGGGCUCAACCCCGGCCGGCCGUUGAAACUGGCGUGCUCGAGUUGGAGAGAAGUACGCGGAAUUCGUGGUGUAGCGGUGAAAUGCUUAGAUAUCACGAAGAACUCCGAUUG